UACGUAGGGUGCGAGCGUUGUCCGGAAUUACUGGGCGUAAUAGAGCUGUAGGUGGUUUGUCGCGUUGUUCGUGAAAACCGGGGGCUUAACCCUCGGCGUGCGGGCGAUACGGGCAGACUGGAGUACUGCAGGGGAGACUGGAAUUCCUGGUGUAGCGGUGGAAUGCGCAGAUAUCAGGAGGAACACCGGUGGCGAAGGCGGGUCUCUGGGCAGUAACUGACGCUGAGGAGCGAAAGCGUGGGGAGCGAACAGG
This 253-nucleotide ribosomal RNA is filed under the name uncultured bacterium. RNAcentral describes it as "partial 16S ribosomal RNA". It matches the Rfam family "Bacterial small subunit ribosomal RNA", at positions 524 to 776 of the family's 1533-position model. The record is from RNAcentral.